AAAAUUUUUUUGGGCCCCAGUGUUUUUUGUGUGUUAAAUAUUUCCGCGCGAAGGACAAGAUAUCUGUUUUCUUCGUUUAAGUACCAAAAUUUGGCAUAAAAAUGAGAUAAAGUCCCUGGCAAGCAAUUGUAACGUAUUCGUCUGGAAAAAUUUUAACCCCUAAAGUGGUGCACUAACCGAAAAUUGUUUGGCGACGGGGGGGGGGGAGGUUGUCAUCCUAAAAAAUUUUUUUCCGAAAAAAAAUUUUUAGAUAGGGGCCCCCCAAAAAAAUUUGCCCCGGGCCCCCGCCAACCUCUCGGCGGCCCUGUCUGUACCAGUGUAAGCAGUGUCAAUAAUACAAACAAGCUUUCGUUGGUAGGAAUGCAACUACUUGAAAAAUAUAAGGCAGGACAUUUUUUAAGAAUUCGUCAGUGGAGAGGGGGGGGGGGGCUUUUACAAAAAGGGACCAUACUAUACCGGGUGUGAAGCAAUGAUAGAUGGUUUGUUGGUAACAAAAAGUUUGGUGUAGUAUCGCAUUUAAUAGGGAGCUUUAGAUUUGACUACGAGUACGACUACGAGCAUAGAGAUUAUAAAUAACACUAGAGGAGGCAUUGUAAUCUUAAUUCAGUAAAAAAAAG
Non-coding RNA from Paramuricea clavata, 617 nucleotides. The record is from the annotation of a GenBank genome assembly. Lineage: Eukaryota; Metazoa; Cnidaria; Anthozoa; Malacalcyonacea; Plexauridae.